GACACCCAAUUGGUCAACUACAAACAAGAGUCAUAUUAGGAUGCUAUUGAUGGUUAAACCUAAUGAUACUUGGUCUGACCAAGGUGGGAGCUGGCAGGUUGUCCGAUAGCUAGGGAUCAGGACCCUCUUCACAAAAGUCCACCAAAGCUAUUGUAAGGUCUUUUUCUAAGAUCUAAAAAGAUCCUAAGAGAAAGAAACAAUCUAGAAAGAGAAAAAAAUUCUAAAAGAAAGAGAAACAAUCUAGAAAGAGAAAGUUAUAGAGAGAGAAACUUAUAGAGGUAGA
This 283-nucleotide long non-coding RNA is filed under the name Elaeis guineensis (African oil palm). RNAcentral's name for it is "long non-coding RNA (EGUI_LNC020192)". The record is from RNAcentral. Lineage: Eukaryota; Viridiplantae; Streptophyta; Magnoliopsida; Arecales; Arecaceae.